This 681-nucleotide ribosomal RNA is filed under the name uncultured bacterium. RNAcentral describes it as "bacterial SSU rRNA". It matches the Rfam family "Bacterial small subunit ribosomal RNA", at positions 8 to 689 of the family's 1533-position model. The record is from RNAcentral.
AGAGUUUGAUCAUGGCUCAGGAUGAACGCUAGCGGGAGGCCUAACACAUGCAAGCCGAGCGGUAGAUUACUUUCGGGUAAUUGAGAGCGGCGUACGGGUGCGGAACACGUGUGCAACCUGCCUUUAUCAGGGGGAUAGCCUUUCGAAAGGAAGAUUAAUACCCCAUAAUAUAUUAUUCGGCAUCGGGUGAUAUUGAAAACUACGGUGGAUAGAGAUGGGCACGCGCAAGAUUAGCUAGUUGGUGAGGUAACGGCUCACCAAGGCGACGAUCUUUAGGGGGCCUGAGAGGGUGAUCCCCCACACUGGUACUGAGACACGGACCAGACUCCUACGGGAGGCAGCAGUGAGGAAUAUUGGACAAUGGGUGGAAGCCUGAUCCAGCCAUCCCGCGUGCAGGAAGACGGCCCUAUGGGUUGUAAACUGCUUUUAUCUGGGGAUAAACCUACUUACGUGUAAGUAGCUGAAGGUACCAGAAGAAUAAGCACCGGCUAACUCCGUGCCAGCAGCCGCGGUAAUACGGAGGGUGCAAGCGUUAUCCGGAUUUAUUGGGUUUAAAGGGUCCGUAGGCGGACUGAUAAGUCAGUGGUGAAAUCCGACAGCUUAACUGUCGAACUGCCAUUGAUACUGUUAGUCUUGAGUAAGGUUGAAGUGGCUGGAAUAAGUAGUGUAGCGGUGAAAUGC